This 91-nucleotide ribosomal RNA is filed under the name Nomascus leucogenys (northern white-cheeked gibbon). The record is from RNAcentral. Lineage: Eukaryota; Metazoa; Chordata; Mammalia; Primates; Hylobatidae.
GUCUCCAGCCAUACCACCCUGAAUGCACCCAAUCUUGCUGAUCUCGGAAGUUAAUCAGUAUUGGGUCUGAUUAGUCGUUGGGUGGGAGAAA